GCCGAGAGGUGAAAUGAGUUUCGCCUGAGGAUGAGCUCGCGUCUGAUUAGCUAGUUGGUGGGGUAAGAGCCUACCAAGGCGACGAUCAGUAGCUGGUCUGAGAGGAUGAUCAGCCACACUGGGACUGAGACACGGCCCAGACUCCUACGGGAGGCAGCAGUGGGGAAUUUUCCGCAAUGGGCGAAAGCCUGACGGAGCAACGCCGCGUGAGGGAUGAAGGCCUCUGGGCUGUAAACCUCUUUUCUCAAGGAAGAAGAUCUGACGGUACUUGAGGAAUAAGCCACGGCUAAUUCCGUGCCAGCAGCCGCGGUAAUACGGGAGUGGCAAGCGUUAUCCGGAAUUAUUGGGCGUAAAGCGUCCGCAGGCGGCCUUGUAAGUCUGUCGUUAAAGCAUGGAGCUUAACUCCAUUUGAGCGAUGGAAACUACAAGGCUUGAGUGUGGUAGGGGCAGAGGGAAUUCCCGGUGUAGCGGUGAAAUGCGUAGAUAUCGGGAAGAACACCAGUGGCGAAGGCGCUCUGCUGGGCCAUAACUGACGCUCAUGGACGAAAGCCAGGGGAGCGAAAGGGAUUAGAUACCCCUGUAGUCCUGGCCGUAAACGAUGAACACUAGGUGUCGGGGGAAUCGACCCCCUCGGUGUCGUAGCCAACGCGUUAAGUGUUCCGCCUGGGGAGUACGCACGCAAGUGUGAAACUCAAAGGAAUUGACGGGGGCCCGCACAAGCGGUGGAGUAUGUGGUUUAAUCCGAUGCAACGCGAAGAACCUUACCAGGGUUUGACAUCCUGCGAAUCCCUUGGAAACGGGGGAGUGCCUUCGGGAGCGCAGAGACAGGUGGUGCAUGGCUGUCGUCAGCUCGUGUCGUGAGAUGUUGGGUUAAGUCCCGCAACGAGCGCAACCCACGUCGUUAGUUGCCAGCAUUCAGUUGGGCACUCUAGCGAGACCGCCGGUGAUAAACCGGAGGAAGGUGUGGAUGACGUCAAGUCAUCAUGCCCCUUACAUCCUGGGCUACACACGUACUACAAUGCUACGGACAAAGGGCAGCAAACUCGCGAGAGCUAGCAAAUCCCAUAAACCGUGGCUCAGUUCAGAUCGUAGGCUGCAACUCGCCUACGUGAAGGAGGAAUCGCUAGUAAUCGCAGGUCAGCAUACUGCGGUGAAUACGUUCCCGGGCCUUGUACACACCGCCCGUCACACCAUGGAAGUUGGCCACGCCCGAAGUCGUUACUCCAACCCUUGUGGAGGAGGACGCCGAAGGUGGGGCUGAUGACUGGGGUGAAGUCGUAACAAGGUAGCCGUACCGGAAGGUGCGGCUGGAUCACCUCCUAACAGGGAGACAACAACUGACAUGGAUGCCUAGGCAAAUUUGAUCCGAGGCCCGUGUCCUGUCAUCUCGAAGGUCGAUCGGUACCUCAACUUGAAAGCCAAGAGCAUCUGGAAACAGGCUGUUGUUUGGAGAUCAAGGUUCAGUUCCUAAACUUUGUCUAGGUCACCCCAAAGGGAUGGCAGAGAGUAAGCAAGCGGCUUUGCCCAGCGCAUGGCCACGGUCACUGCGAGCAGCAGGGCUGGAUCGCUUGCUGAUCUGCUGUGACUCAUGAGGCAGCAACAACUCCUGGGCCAUUAGCUCAGGUGGUUAGAGCGCACCCCUGAUAAGGGUGAGGUCCCUGGUUCAAGUCCAGGAUGGCCCAUUCGUGUUUGGGGGUUUAGCUCAGUUGGUAGAGCGCCUGCUUUGCAAGCGGGAUGUCAGCGGUUCGAGUCCGCUAACCUCCACUCAACGGCACCCUCAGGCAGGACAAGGAUGUUGUUCUGUGGGAUGAUCUGGAUUCGGUGCAAGCUGAACGGGCCAGAGGGCUCGAUGAUUUCAGCCUCCAAUCAUGCCGAAAUAUCUGCGCAAAUCAGCAACAAGCGUGCUUGUUGUCAACUGGCGUAUCGAUUGAAAUGGUUGAUUGGAUGCGGAACUCAAGGGUAGACCGCAUGGUCUGCCACUGUGUUCAGCCAGAACCUUGACAACUGCAUAGGUGAGUCUGGAAAGAAAGCAUCUCAUGGAUGCCGGCUACCAUCCUUGGUAGGCGGUUUUUUCUAUGACGUUAAGAGCCGAGCACGGCAACCGUCUUGCCCCUCGCCGAGAGGCGGUGAGUCAGACC
This 2138-nucleotide ribosomal RNA is filed under the name uncultured Synechococcus sp. Its description in RNAcentral is "bacterial SSU rRNA". The stretch from base 1 to 1323 matches the Rfam family "Bacterial small subunit ribosomal RNA", at positions 191 to 1533 of the family's 1533-position model. Lineage: Bacteria; Bacillati; Cyanobacteriota; Cyanophyceae; Synechococcales; Synechococcaceae. The record is from RNAcentral.